RNAcentral lists this ribosomal RNA (321 nucleotides) under uncultured eukaryote. Its description in RNAcentral is "partial 18S ribosomal RNA". It matches the Rfam family "Eukaryotic small subunit ribosomal RNA", at positions 1470 to 1796 of the family's 1831-position model. The record is from RNAcentral.
CCCUUAGAUGUUCUGGGCCGCACGCGUGCUACACUGAGUGGAUCAGCGGGUCAGGUUGCGCGAAAGCGUUUCCUAAUCUUUAAAUCCGCUCGUGAUGGGGAUUGACGGUUGCAAUUUUCUGUCAUGAACGAGGAAUACCUUGUAAGCGCGGGUCAUCAUCCCGCGCUGAAUACGUCCCUGCCCUUUGUACACACCGCCCGUCGCACCUACCGAUUGAAUGGUUCGGUGAAGAUCUCGGACUUCGAUAUUCAUUCUUUAUUGAGUUUAUAUUGUGGGAAGUUAUCUAAACCUCAUCAUUUAGAGGAAGGUGAAGUCGUAACA